ACCUCGGAUCAGGUAGGGAUACCCGCUGAACUUAAGCAUAUCAAUAAGCGGAGGAAAAGAAACCAACAGGGAUUGCCUCAGUAACGGCGAGUGAAGCGGCAACAGCUCAAAUNUGAAAUCUGGCUCUUUCAGGGUCCGAGUUGUAAUUUGUAGAAGAUGCUUUGGGUGUGGCUCCGGUCUAAGUUCCUUGGAACAGGACGUCAUAGAGGGUGAGAAUCCCGUACGUGACUGGGUGCCUUCGCUCGUGUAAAGCUCUUUCGACGAGUCGAGUUGUUUGGGAAUGCAGCUCAAAAUGGGUGGUAAAUUUCAUCUAAAGCUAAAUAUUGGCCAGAGACCGAUAGCGCACAAGUAGAGUGAUCGAAAGAUGAAAAGCACUUUGGAAAGAGAGUUAAACAGUACGUGAAAUUGUUGAAAGGGAAGCGCUUGCAACCAGACUUGCGCGCUGUUGAUCAUCCGAGCUUUUGCCCGGUGCACUCGGCAGCGCUCAGGCCAGCAUCGGUUUUGGUGGGCGGAUAAAGGCCUUGGGAAUGUAGCUCUCUUCGGGGAGUGUUAUAGCCCUCGGUGCAAUGCGCCCUACCGGACCGAGGA
RNAcentral lists this ribosomal RNA (588 nucleotides) under Hyaloscypha sp. O_3_BESC_246h. RNAcentral describes it as "eukaryotic LSU rRNA". It matches the Rfam family "Eukaryotic large subunit ribosomal RNA", at positions 1 to 594 of the family's 3401-position model. The record is from RNAcentral. Lineage: Eukaryota; Fungi; Ascomycota; Leotiomycetes; Helotiales; Hyaloscyphaceae.